Molecule: ribosomal RNA, 313 nt
Filed under: uncultured bacterium
Lineage: Bacteria
Description: bacterial SSU rRNA
Rfam family: Bacterial small subunit ribosomal RNA
Source: RNAcentral
AUUGAACGCUGGUGGUAUGCUUAACACAUGCAAGUCGGACGGUAACGGAAUUAGCUUGCUAAUAGACGACGAGUGGCGGACGGGUGAGUAAAGCAAAGGAACAAGCCUAUUAGAGGGGGAUAGCAUUGGGAAACUGAUGGUAAUACCGCAUGAAGCCUAAUGGUUAAAGGCUGGGAACUAUUUUAUAGUCCAGUUGCUAAUAGAUUGGCCUUUGUUAGAUUAGCUAGUUGGUAGGGUAAGAGCCUACCAAGGCUACGAUCUAUAGCUGUUUUGAGAGGAAGAUCAGCCACACUGGGACUGAGACACGGCCCAG